Molecule: ribosomal RNA, 48 nt
Filed under: Fusarium oxysporum
Lineage: Eukaryota; Fungi; Ascomycota; Sordariomycetes; Hypocreales; Nectriaceae
Also listed under: 1 other name
Description: partial 28S ribosomal RNA
Source: RNAcentral
CCUCGGAUCAGGUAGGAAUACCCGCUGAACUUAAGCAUAUCAAUAAGC